CCUACGGGUGGCUGCAGUGAGGAAUAUUGGUCAAUGGGCGGAAGCCUGAACCAGCCAAGUAGCGUGCAGGAUGACGGCCCUACGGGUUGUAAACUGCUUUUAUACGGGAAUAACGCGCCUUACGUGUAGGGCUUUGCAUGUACCGUAUGAAUAAGGACCGGCUAAUUCCGUGCCAGCAGCCGCGGUAAUACGGAAGGUCCGGGCGUUAUCCGGAUUUAUUGGGUUUAAAGGGAGCGUAGGCCGCAUGUCAAGCGUGCUGUGAAAUGUCCGGGCUCAACCCGGGCCUUGCAGCGCGAACUGGCGUGCUUGAGUCCGCGGAAAGCAGGCGGAAUUCGUCGUGUAGCGGUGAAAUGCUUAGAUAUGACGAAGAACCCCGAUUGCGAAGGCAGCUUGCUGGGACGCAACUGACGCUCAUACACGAAAGCGUGGGGAGCAAACAGGAUUAGAUACCCUGGUAGUC
This 460-nucleotide ribosomal RNA is filed under the name uncultured bacterium. RNAcentral describes it as "partial 16S ribosomal RNA". It matches the Rfam family "Bacterial small subunit ribosomal RNA", at positions 338 to 795 of the family's 1533-position model. The record is from RNAcentral.